GAGAGAGAGAGAGAUAGAUAGAUAUAUAGAUAGAUAGAUAGAUAGAGAAAGAGGGAGAGAUAGAGGGGGAGAGGUAGAGAGAGAGGGAGAGGGAGAGAUGGUGAGGUAGAGAGAGGGAGGAAGGGAGAGGAAGGGAUAGGGAGGGAGGGAGAGGGAGAGGGAGGGAGAGGGAGAGGGAGAGAGAGAGGGAAAGGGAGAGGGGGAGAGAGGGAGAGGGAGAG
This 221-nucleotide long non-coding RNA is filed under the name Hordeum vulgare. Its description in RNAcentral is "long non-coding RNA (HVUL_LNC009206)". The record is from RNAcentral. Lineage: Eukaryota; Viridiplantae; Streptophyta; Magnoliopsida; Poales; Poaceae.